RNAcentral lists this small RNA (141 nucleotides) under Candidatus Blastococcus massiliensis. RNAcentral describes it as "ydaO/yuaA leader". It matches the Rfam family "c-di-AMP riboswitch aptamer (ydaO/yuaA leader)", at positions 12 to 118 of the family's 134-position model. From Rfam's summary of the family: This family represents a conserved RNA structure found upstream of the ydaO and yuaA genes in Bacillus subtilis and related genes in other bacteria. The record is from RNAcentral. Lineage: Bacteria; Bacillati; Actinomycetota; Actinomycetes; Geodermatophilales; Geodermatophilaceae.
GCCGAACCCAGGAUGGGCGACCGUCCGGGACCGGGGACCCAUCGCAGUACUGGGGUGAAUCCUGCGCGCCGAACUGCCGGCCGCAGGUAGGGCGUCUUCCAGCCCGAAUCCGUCAGCUAACUCGGUAGGCGGCACUGGAAG